Molecule: long non-coding RNA, 2065 nt
Organism: Nycticebus coucang (slow loris)
Lineage: Eukaryota; Metazoa; Chordata; Mammalia; Primates; Lorisidae
Exons: 2
Source: RefSeq, a predicted model, not a curated record
GGGCCACCUGUAAGUUGGAGAAGGACUCACAUCAACAUUGUUGUCACUGGCACUUGGCUAUGCUGCUGCAGGGACCUACUGGACUGCAAACGACUGGCAAGGAGGAUGGCAGUGGCUAGAACUGAGAUACACAGCAGGUGUCCAACCGAUACUGUUUCAUUCUGAGCACACAAGUGGUUCCCAAGUAUUUCUCCUGAGCCUGCCACGAGCCAAAGUUAAUUCCAUUUAGAAGUAAGUGCCAACCAUACCCAUCAAUACAAGAGUAGUGGAUUAGAAAAUAGCUAAUAUUUUACCAUAGCAGGCUCUCCAAGGAAAAGAGGAAGCUGAUUGAUUUUACCAUCGUUCAAGUGUUUCGCCAAAAUCUAAAACACCAAAAAUAAAUUAAAUGGUCUACACACUUACACAGAACUUUGGGUCAAAGGAUACAGUACCUUUAGGAUAACAUGUUAUAUAUUCCAAGCAAAUUAAAUGACAGUGUUCAAACAUAGCAGCCACCUGUUCAGUAAAAUCUUUCUUAACCAGUGUGAGACGCAGGAAUAAACUUGUAUCUUAACAUGCAUGUGUGCAGCUACACGUGUCUGUGUGUGGUUGUUGUGUGCAGAGUCACUUCAGUCACUUAACUUUGGGACCAAACCACCCUGACCCAAUCCUACAGACCUAGCCCUAUGGAGACUUUACUGUGCUAUCUAACCUAAUCCUUGCAUCCCAAAUGUGUUAUUUACCAAAAUAACAGCACGUCAUUCAGAGUUUACUCUGUAGGGAAACAGAUGCAUUUUGAACUUGCCCAGCACACAUUCAUUCAGCAAUCUACUAGUUAUCACAGAGGUAAAGUGAUCUGAAUCCCCAAAUCACUGCAGGCUCUUUUCCUAACUCUUAGGCUCUGCCACCAAUGCAGGAAUUAUAACAAGGGCUGCAUACCCCCAAAGCCUGUAUACUCCACAGGUGGUAAGAUUUCCAACUGUACAGCUGGGUGCAGUGGCUCGCACCUGCAAUCCUAUCACUCUGUGAGGCCAAGGUGGGUGGACUGCCCUGGGCUCAGGAGUUCGAGACCAGCCUGAGCAAGAGAGAGGCCAUGUCUCUAAAAAAUAGCCAGGAGUUGUGGUGGGUGCCUUUUGUCCAGCUACUUUGGAGGCUGAGGCAAGAGAAUCGCUGGAGCCCAAAAGUUUGAGGUUGCUGUGAGCUAUGAUGCCAUGGCAUACUACCAAGGGUGACAAAAUGAAAUUGUCUAAAAAAAAAAAAAUUUCCAACUGUAACUUUUACCACUCCAGACUCUCACCUUGGAAUCAUCCUGCAUAUACAGAUUAAUUAGUAUAGAUCACACACUCCUCUAACAGGACUUGAGGAAUAUCUCAUGUGUAGAAAAGAUUAAUCUAAAAUUUAAGCAGCUUGGCGCCUGUAGCUCAGUGGUUAGGGUGCUGGCCACAUAUACCAGGGCUUGCAGGAUUGAACCCAGCCAGGCCUGCUAAACAAUGGCAACUACAACUACAACAAAAAAGAUAGCCAAGUGUUAUGCUGGGCGCCUGUAGUCCCAGCUACUUGGGAGGCUGAGGCAAAAGAAUCACUUAAGCCCGAGAGUUUGAGGUUGCUGUGAGCUGUGAUGCCACAGCAUUCUACCAAGGGCAACAUAGGGAGACUCUGUCUCAAAAAAUAAAUAAAUAAAUAAAAUAAAAUAAACUGUAAGCCUUUAAACAAUUUCAGCAAAGAAUGUUAGCAUCGCUUUGUGUUUUUUAACUUUGAGUUCUGUAUAACUAUAUAAGAUAGAUUAAUAAUACUGGGUCUCAAGAUUAACCUGAUAACUACAUUUAGAUCUAUUAUAAGUUUGGGGAAAGACUUAUAUUACUACCGACAUUCUUCUGUAAGCAUGUGAUUUAUGGGUGAUCUUUUAAUCUGGUGUUUUAAAUUGUAUUUCAAAAGAUGAUGUUUGCUUGUCUCAAGUUACCUUCUGGGUUUAACCACUUACUUCAUCGAAGGUGGUAUAAAGAGCUGUUGACUUCAGAAAAGGAAAAAAUAAAACACAGUUAAGGCAAAAUACAAAUACAGUAGCAUUCAAAGCAUAAAAUAAUUA